This 578-nucleotide ribosomal RNA is filed under the name Trigonopterus pauxillus. Its description in RNAcentral is "SSU rRNA". It matches the Rfam family "Eukaryotic small subunit ribosomal RNA", at positions 23 to 579 of the family's 1831-position model. Lineage: Eukaryota; Metazoa; Arthropoda; Insecta; Coleoptera; Curculionidae. The record is from RNAcentral.
GUCAUAUGCUUGUCUCAAAGAUUAAGCCAUGCAUGUCUCAGUACAAGCCAAAUUAAGGUGAAACCGCGAAAGGCUCAUUAAAUCAGUUAUGGUUCCUUAGGUCGUACCCACAAUUACUUGGAUAACUGUGGUAAUUCUAGAGCUAAUACAUGCAAACAGAGCUCCGACCGGAGACGGAAGGAGUGCUUUUAUUAGAACAAAACCAAUCGGUGGCGGGUUCGCUCGUCAUCGUACAACUUGGUGACUCUGAAUAACUUUAGGCUGAUCGCACGGUCAUCGCACCGGCGACGCAUCUUUCAAAUGUCUGCCUUAUCAACUGUCGAUGGUAGGUUCUGCGCCUACCAUGGUUGUAACGGGUAACGGGGAAUCAGGGUUCGAUUCCGGAGAGGGAGCCUGAGAAACGGCUACCACAUCCAAGGAAGGCAGCAGGCGCGCAAAUUACCCACUCCCGGCACGGGGAGGUAGUGACGAAAAAUAACGAUACGGGACUCAUCCGAGGCCCCGUAAUCGGAAUGAGUACACUCUAAACCCAUUAACGAGGAUCAAUUGGAGGGCAAGUCUGGUGCCAGCAGCCGCGG